UUCACAAUUGUCCUGUUAUCUCCGACUCUCCCUCAUCUCAGUAUCUCCGACUCGGCGAGUGGGCGACUCUCCUUCAACCACUUCACACAAAUACUUCAUCUCCUUCACACAAAUCAAUCAAUCUGAAAAGUAAAUAAUCAAUCUUCUCCGGCAGAUUUCGUCUCCUUCAAUUUCAGGUAUUAAUUCUAUUUUUAGGGUUUUGAAAUUAAUUGUUUUGUUUAUGAAAUUUAGAACCAUUGUUUAAUUUAA
Molecule: long non-coding RNA, 249 nt
Filed under: Panax ginseng (ginseng)
Lineage: Eukaryota; Viridiplantae; Streptophyta; Magnoliopsida; Apiales; Araliaceae
Description: long non-coding RNA (PGIN_LNC001297)
Source: RNAcentral